RNAcentral lists this ribosomal RNA (413 nucleotides) under uncultured microorganism. RNAcentral's name for it is "bacterial SSU rRNA". It matches the Rfam family "Archaeal small subunit ribosomal RNA", at positions 330 to 745 of the family's 1478-position model. The record is from RNAcentral.
GCGCACCAGGCGAGAAUACUCCGCAAUACACGAAAGUGUGACGGGGCCAUCCCGAGUGCCGUCCGCUGAGGACGGCUUUUCCCCAGUGUACACAGCUGGGGGAAUAAGGAGAGGGCAAGCCUGGUGUCAGCCGCCGCGGUAAUACCAGCUCUCCGAGUGGUGGGGACGCUUAUUGGGCCUAAAGCAUCCGUAGCCGGCUGGGCAAGUUCUCCGUUAAAUCCAACGAUUCAAUCGUUGGGCUGCGGGGGAUACUGUCCAGCUUGGGGGCGGGAGAGGCCGACGGUAUUCCCGGGGUAGGGGUGAAAUCCUAUAAUCCCGGGAGGACCACCAGUGGCGAAGGCUGUCGGCUAGAACGCGCCCGACGGUGAGGGAUGAAAGCUGGGGGAGCGAACCGGAUUAGAUACCCCCGUAGU